CAGCAGCCGCGGUAAUACGUAGGUGGCAAGCGUUGUCCGGAAUUAUUGGGCGUAAAGCGCGCGCAGGCGGAUAGGUCAGUCUGUCUUAAAAGUUCGGGGCUUAACCCCGUGAUGAGAUGGAAACUGCCAAUCUAGAGUAUCGGAGAGGAAAGUGGAAUUCCUAGUGUAGCGGUGAAAUGCGUAGAUAUUAGGAAGAACACCAGUGGCGAAGGCGACUUUCUGGACGAAAACUGACGCUGAGGCGCGAAAGCCAGGGGAGCGAACGGGAUUAGAUACCCCUGUAGUCCCUGUCUCUUAUACC
RNAcentral lists this ribosomal RNA (301 nucleotides) under uncultured bacterium. RNAcentral describes it as "partial 16S ribosomal RNA". It matches the Rfam family "Bacterial small subunit ribosomal RNA", at positions 509 to 808 of the family's 1533-position model. The record is from RNAcentral.